Non-coding RNA from Pelobates cultripes (western spadefoot toad), 222 nucleotides. The record is from the annotation of a GenBank genome assembly. Lineage: Eukaryota; Metazoa; Chordata; Amphibia; Anura; Pelobatidae.
UUUUUUUUUCACUGAGAGUAUAGCCAAAAACUGCAGAUCUCUUCUCUGAAGCCUUUACAAACCCUCCCCUACUAACACAGCUCAGAUUUUCUGUGGCUGUGCAAUCAUAGACUUCCCAAUACAGCUCAAUGAGAGGUCUUCACAAGACAGGUGCUCUGGGCAAAUGACUGGGUCUUGAGUUUCGCUCCAUUAAGCUAAGUAAAAGGACCAGUUUUCUGACUG